RNAcentral lists this ribosomal RNA (253 nucleotides) under uncultured bacterium. RNAcentral's name for it is "partial 16S ribosomal RNA". It matches the Rfam family "Bacterial small subunit ribosomal RNA", at positions 524 to 776 of the family's 1533-position model. The record is from RNAcentral.
GACGUAGGGGGCAAGCGUUGUUCGGAAUUAUUGGGCGUAAAGCGCUCGUAGGCGGGAUUGGAAGUCCGUGUUGAAAGACCUCGGCUCAACUGAGGGACCGGCUCGGAUACUCUAAUUCUUGAGGCAAUCAGAGGAUGAUGGAAUUCCCGGUGUAGCGGUGAAAUGCGCAGAUAUCAGGAGGAACACCGAUGGCGAAGGCAGGUCUCUGGGCCGAUACUGACGCUGAGGAGCGAAAGCGUGGGGAGCGAACAGG